This 1093-nucleotide long non-coding RNA is filed under the name Betta splendens (Siamese fighting fish). Its description in RNAcentral is "lncRNA (ENSBSLG00000005486.1)". Lineage: Eukaryota; Metazoa; Chordata; Actinopteri; Anabantiformes; Osphronemidae. The record is from RNAcentral.
UUUACCCAAGUCGACAUUAAUGUUAAUUUAGCGUUUCAUUACAAAUUUCCACCAAAUGUUGCAACAAACAAUAUUUGAUUGACAUGUUUGUAUCUAAUAUCUAAAAUAUAUUUUCGUAAAUAAUGAAAAAGAAAGUAAUUUAAAAUGAAUCCUUGUCUCUGGUAUAUAUGAUCAGCUGAUGGGGUUCUAGGUUCUGCUCACAGUGGCUGCUGUUGGGUCAGAUUUAGUUUGGAAGUACCCGUUCUGGGACUCGUCACCCUCAGCACCGCUCUCCAACAGAUAAGCCGCUGCUGGUGUGUGUUUUAGAUUUUGGAAUAUUAUUGUUUGCUCUCAAAACCUUACGAACAAAUGACUGCGGAGCUGCGCCGAGAGUGGCUCAAAUGUCCUUUUAGAGGAGCGAGCACGCUGAUGCGUUUCCGUGGAGAAUUCCCCCGGAGGAGAUUCCAUUCAGACGGGCUCCUGAGGGGUUUAAUGGCCCAAAUGCAGCCGCUCGGCCCUGACGUUCCCUCACGGACGCCGGAGUCACUGCAACCGGGAAGACAGCGUGUGUUUGCGCGUGUUUACGCACACAUGCGCCGUGGACCUGCAGGCUACGUAAGAUGGCACAAAAACUAAUCCUGUGCAUACCCAAAGAUGGCAGCCAGCCACGUUCCUCGUUUCCUCAGAACAUUCACUCAUAAUAGGACGCUUCACAACCGUCGACAUUUUAACUCGGGCCUUUCAACCGUCAGUGAGAAGCCCAGUGAUUAAAGAGACCACAAUAGCUGGAAGGUCAUGAGUCCUCCAGAUGAAGGAUCCUUCAGCGAGUCUCUGACCCACUCCAGCGUCAUUGUGCGCUGCUCCGGAGAAGAGGAGCGUGGUCUUCUCCCUGCGUGUAUGUGUGUGUCUGCUUGAGUGCGAAUGGCUGCUUGACAAAGUAAACUGGGUGCAAAAGGAGCAGUGAGACAAAACAUCUGAGCCUCCUUGUAAAUGGAAAACAUACAACUGCUUUUGUUCCCCGUGCUGCCGGCUGAUAAUAUAACGUGCCAUUUGCCAAGAAAAUGAAAAUUAUAUUACAGCUAAGGUGCUUUUGUGCAAUAUUAAAUGAAAUCAC